UUACACUAGUACAACUAUUUGGACUGAACCAUUACAUGAGUAACUGACCAUUUAGGUUUUAAGGUUUCGGGCACUUGAAUUAGUGAUGCUGUGAUUAGUUUUCUUGGUUGAUUCCUUUUAGGCCACAGACUACUGAUUCCGUAUUCAGUAUGACUGGAUAACUUGGUAUCUUCUCCUAGUUCUCUUUCUCACUUUUUAUAUAUCAUUUGUCAGUCUUCUCUUUCAAUGCAGAUUGUGUAUUUGUGUGGUAUCAGAUCAAUUUCAGAGGAAAUGGGAAAUCAACUGUGGUGCUGCCAUUUUGGUGAUAAAUGGAUGGUAAUAUGGAAAUAGAUUGAUGACUAGACCGUAUUUGAUGUCUUGAAUUAAAAACUAAGACUCCUUUGCCUGACAUAUUCUACAUAGUCAUAUACAUUUUCAGUUAUGUAUUUAAAUCACGUAAGAAAUUAACAAGUCUUGUCCUAAAUUAAAAUUGUAAUCCAAAUUUUGAAAUCCUUGAAUCUAGCCUCUCAAGGGUGAAUUGUCCCCCGUUGGGAAAUGCCCCCCUCAAGCUUUUCAAGUGAUUAGAUUAGCAAGAUCUUUAUAAUCAUGAAUAUCAUACACAUUGUAGAGGAAACGCACCCCUAUUAUCUUUGUGUUUGAGGAAGGAUAAAUUUUGGUGGGAGUCUAUGCUUCAAAUAAUGCUAUUAAAUUUUGUGGGAGUAACCAUAUCAAUGGUACCAUGGUACCACGGCUUGGCAUUGGAAUUUGCACAGGGUUGACGUUCGUGAGCAAGUAAUUGAUACAAAUGUGAUCAUGACACUCGGUAAAAUAGAUUGUCAAUUCUUCAAUUAACUCCUGGUUAUAAUCAACAAUGAUUAAUGUGAAUUAGCUGAAUGCUGUUUUUGGAAACUUUUCUAGCCCCACUGAUAUUAGUAUAUUUGCCAAGUGUAUCCCUUACCCGAAUUUGGAGUAGUUUGCUGCCAAGGCACUGAUUAAUUGAUAAAAUGAAGUCUUCAUAGUGGUUAAAUUCACUGAAACCUUUUUUUCCCCCCUUUCCCAAUGUUGCUAGUGUUUUUCUCCGAGGAUGUUGCUAGUUAAGCAGAUAAUGCUUACUGUAUCGUG
RNAcentral lists this unclassified non-coding RNA (1101 nucleotides) under Hevea brasiliensis (rubber tree). The record is from RNAcentral. Lineage: Eukaryota; Viridiplantae; Streptophyta; Magnoliopsida; Malpighiales; Euphorbiaceae.